UGUAGUUCACAGAAAGUUCAGUUCUAGUGGCCACAGCAGAUAGCAAGCUGUUUUCCUAGUGUGCCAACAAAGAACUGCAAACACUCCAUGGAGAAAUGAUUAGCACUCCAUCCCCACAGCUUGCAGGGAUAUGGGUACUUGCGGCACUCUCCCUCUUGUCCUUAGUAUUCCAAAUCCCAUGGCUCCUUCAACUUCCUCUCUACCAUUGACAGAAAGAAGGGCAAAGAGUAGAAAUAAAGCAAAAGGCUGACUCCUGGCUAGAAAGACGCGUGCUUCCCACGGUUCUCCUCUUGUAGAUUAGAUUGGAAGCUGCACCCCUCCAUGUAAGGACUCUGCAGUCACUGAUUUCUACUUGGAGAUGAGGGUCUUCCUGUCGGUCUUCGGGUGAUUACUUCAUGUUUGCCACAACCCCACCCCAAGCUGAUCCCGAGACUCAUUGUUCAUAGAGCCAACCACCUUCCUAACACCCAACUAAACCAAUAACAGCACUCCCGAGACCUCAGUGGGGUCAGCCUGGCAUGGUAACCUCAGACUCGGGCAGCUCUUUAUCUCAGCCUUUCUAGCCCUCUCAAAAACCUCCGUAGAUACACCUGUCGGUAGCAGAGCCCCUCUGUACCCAUGAUUACAACAGUUUACAUUUUAAAGAGUUUAAAAUAGAACUUUUUACUCUUUGAUUUCUGUUAGUGCUAAUACGCCCCAGUCAUCCUCCUAAGAAGGAGGUGAACAUACAAAAAAAGAGGUAGAUGGCCAAACAUCAAAAUGAGAACAGACUUAAUAGGGAAAAAAAAAUCUGAAUUCCUUGAUAAGCUUAUAUUUCUGAAAAUCAAAUUUUCAGUUGGGAAUAUAUUCUAACCUAUUUCUACUCUUUCUUUCCUUGUCAUUUCCCAUCUAAGUAUAUUCUUUUCUUUUCUUUUAGACAAAACUCCCUGAUUCUUUUCCAGUAGUCACUCUGAGCACACCAUCUUUGUCAUUCCUCAGCCAUGCCCCCAUUGCAGCACAGUGGUCAGAAAUAAUCAUACCAAACAGGAGUGUAGUUUCCUCAGUGGAAUUCUGCUGUUUUGCAGCACUAAAUGGGUGACUUGCUGCCUUGUAUUUGGUAUUUGUUAAUAAAAUCUUGUAGCCAAAAAACAUCUAAACUUUAGCCACUGUUACUAAAAACUAUUUCUGAAUUAAAUUUGUGAAAUAGAGCCCAAAAAAAGUCUUCCUCAUUAAAUCUGAAGUGUGUCAUGUUUCUAGAUGUUUCCAGAGACAGAAAGUAUAAUCUCUUAAUGAAGACUUCUGAAUUGUAAAAGUAGCAGCCAGUGUGUUUAAAUUGCUUAUUUCCAAAAAAAUUCUAUUGGGAAGAUCACAAGUAGAUUUUUUUUUUCAAAUGGAAAUAACUUCCCAUUGCUCCUCCACUUCUGACACAAAUAAUAAGGACCUCGUUUGCCCUCUUGCC
This 1438-nucleotide long non-coding RNA is filed under the name Mus musculus (house mouse). RNAcentral's name for it is "long non-coding RNA chr12:8273865-8275303". The record is from RNAcentral. Lineage: Eukaryota; Metazoa; Chordata; Mammalia; Rodentia; Muridae.